UCCCAUCUGAAAUCUGUCAAAACAAAACAAAAUUUCAGAUGGGACCUUUGGUCAAAAUAGUGAAAUAUUAGUUUUUUUUUAAUUUUAAAGGUAUUUCUAGUGCAAAUAUCAUAAAUCUCGAAUGAUAUUAUCGUAUAGCAACAAGUUUCACGUUACUGUUUGGGAUUUAUUUGCCGCUUUAGAUUCAAUACUUCAGGAGACUAGAACAUGGAUAGCUUGGUGUUCAGGAAGAACAUCCCGACUGAAAUGAUACCCGUUUGGUUGGAUACACAUUUGAACGAGCAAGCUGGGGAGAAUAGUUAUGCUCCGCUUUGUAGAGGCCGACAGCAACGCCAGGAUUGCGCCAAUGCCCUCAUUAUGUUCUACGCCUUUCGCAGUCUCGGUACGACCUCCGAACCAAACCAAUCCAAUGCAUGGAUCCAAGUCGAUGCUGCCUAAACAUAUCGAUAAGAGAUCAAGCAUUCCGAUGAGCUAAAUGAGACAGAAUGGUACCAACGAAUAAAAGCCAAAUAAAACAACGGUCGAGGAAAUAUUUACUGUCGAAGGUCAACGAUGUAUAUUGCUCGCGAUUCACCCAAUUAGCUUCGGAUACGAAAUACUUGCAGUACUCGCAGAAGGAAGUUGCAUCCGCUACCGAUGAAUAUUAGGUGAUAUUAGUGUCUGUUGAAAACAAAAGAAUUGAACAAAGCUAGUUCAUAGAAACGCAUUCCUGACCUGUAUACCUUGCAUGUACAUACAUGGUGCAUGUACAUGUACCAUGGCAGUGUUGUAAAAUGUCAUUUGCAUUCGUUUGUAUAAUUUUCCCAGAACUUGUUUCAGAAGGUAGCUAUCAAUUCAUGUUGUAUGACGAACUUAUAGCGGUUAAAUGGGCCUACAAC
This is a long non-coding RNA of Armigeres subalbatus, 878 nucleotides long. RefSeq lists it as uncharacterized. The transcript has 3 exons. Lineage: Eukaryota; Metazoa; Arthropoda; Insecta; Diptera; Culicidae. The record is from RefSeq and is a predicted model, not a curated record.